RNAcentral lists this ribosomal RNA (253 nucleotides) under uncultured bacterium. Its description in RNAcentral is "partial 16S ribosomal RNA". It matches the Rfam family "Bacterial small subunit ribosomal RNA", at positions 524 to 776 of the family's 1533-position model. The record is from RNAcentral.
UACGGAGGGUGCAAGCGUUAAUCGGAUUUACUGGGCGUAAAGCGUGCGUAGGCGGUAAUGUAUGUCGGAUGUGAAAUCCCCGGGCUUAACCUGGGAAUUGCAUCCGAAACUGCAUAACUAGAGUAUGGUAGAGGGAAGUGGAAUUCCGGGUGUAGCGGUGAAAUGCGUAGAUAUCCGGAGGAACACCGAUGGCGAAGGCAACUUCCUGGGCCAAUACUGACGCUGAGGCACGAAAGCGUGGGGAGCAAACAGG